RNAcentral lists this ribosomal RNA (280 nucleotides) under Megamonas funiformis YIT 11815. RNAcentral's name for it is "partial 16S ribosomal RNA". It matches the Rfam family "Bacterial small subunit ribosomal RNA", at positions 524 to 806 of the family's 1533-position model. Lineage: Bacteria; Bacillati; Bacillota; Negativicutes; Selenomonadales; Selenomonadaceae. The record is from RNAcentral.
UACGUAGGCGGCAAGCGUUGUCCGGAAUUAUUGGGCGUAAAGGGAGCGCAGGCGGGAAACUAAGCGGAUCUUAAAAGUGCGGGGCUCAACCCCGUGAUGGGGUCCGAACUGGUUUUCUUGAGUGCAGGAGAGGAAAGCGGAAUUCCCAGUGUAGCGGUGAAAUGCGUAGAUAUUGGGAAGAACACCAGUGGCGAAGGCGGCUUUCUGGACUGUAACUGACGCUGAGGCUCGAAAGCUAGGGUAGCGAACGGGAUUAGAUACCCGGUAGUCCGGCUCUACU